This 456-nucleotide ribosomal RNA is filed under the name uncultured Desulfosporosinus sp. Its description in RNAcentral is "bacterial SSU rRNA". It matches the Rfam family "Bacterial small subunit ribosomal RNA", at positions 925 to 1382 of the family's 1533-position model. The record is from RNAcentral. Lineage: Bacteria; Bacillati; Bacillota; Clostridia; Eubacteriales; Desulfitobacteriaceae.
ACAAGCGGUGGAGGAUGUGGUUUAAUUCGAUGCAACGCGAAGAACCUUACCUGGGCUUGACAUCCCUGGAAUCCCCUGGAAACAGGGGAGUGCCCUUCGGGGAGCCAGGAGACAGGUGCUGCAUGGCUGUCGUCAGCUCGUGUCGUGAGAUGUUGGGUUAAGUCCCGCAACGAGCGCAACCCUUGUCUUUAAUUGCCAUCAUUCAGUUGGGCACUUUAAGAGACUGCCGGUGUUAAACUGGAGGAAGGUGGGAUGACGUCAAGUCAUCAUGGCCCUUAUGUUCUGGGCUACACACGUGCUACAAUGGCCGGUACAGACGGACGCAAAGCCGCGAGGUGGAGCAAAUCCUAAAAAGCCGGUCUCAGUUCGGAUUGCAGGCUGCAAUUCGCCUGCAUGAAGUCGGAAUCGCUAGUAAUCGCAGGUCAGCAUACUGCGGUGAAUACGUUCCCGGGCCUU